AGAGUUUGAUCCUGGCUCAGAGUUAACGCUGGCAGCGUGCAUAACACAUGCAAGUCGAACGGGACUGUUUGCGAUUACAUCAAGAGCAGUUUAGUGGCAGACGAGUGAGUAACACGUAAGAAAUCUACCCCAUAGAAGGGAACAACUCGCCGAAAGGCGAGCUAAUACCCUAUACAAUCCCGAGAUGGCAUCAUCUUGGG
RNAcentral lists this ribosomal RNA (200 nucleotides) under uncultured bacterium. RNAcentral's name for it is "partial 16S ribosomal RNA". It matches the Rfam family "Bacterial small subunit ribosomal RNA", at positions 8 to 200 of the family's 1533-position model. The record is from RNAcentral.